AUUGAACGCUGGCGGCAGGCCUCACACAUGCAAGUCGAGCGAGCGGCGGACGGGUGAGUAAUGUAUGGGGAUCUGCCUGAUAGAGGGGGAUAACUCCUGGAACCGGUAGCUAAUACCGCAUCCUAUCCGAUGACACCAGAUGGGAUUAGCUAGUAGGUGGGGGAAUGGCUCACCUAGGCGACGAUCCCUAGCUGGUCUGAGAGGAUGACCAGCCACACUGGAACUGAGACACGGUCCAGACGCCUACGGGAGGAAGCAGUGGGGAAUAGUGCACAAUGGGCGCAAGCCUGAUGCAGCCAUGCCGCGUGUAUGAAGAAGGCCUUCGGGUUGUAAAGUACUUUCAGCGAGGAGGCGUUACCCGCAGAAGAAGCACCGGCUAACUCCGUGCCAGCCGCUGCGGUAAUAC
This 406-nucleotide ribosomal RNA is filed under the name uncultured bacterium. RNAcentral's name for it is "partial 16S ribosomal RNA". It matches the Rfam family "Bacterial small subunit ribosomal RNA", at positions 30 to 526 of the family's 1533-position model. The record is from RNAcentral.